AAAAAAACAAAACAGUAAUUACAUCACAAGCACAGUGAGGAGGUAACUAUGCAUUCACAUGCCGGAUUAAGAGGCAGAGCAAAAGCAACAUCUUCCACAACAGAUACGGCUCUGAUGAUCUUCCAGUCCUCUCUGGCUGCGCCUGGAGGAGUCACUGCCACCUUGGUCUGCUGGGCACGACCUUCAGUGUUCACAUACGUGCCACAUUUCUCAGUGUAUGCAGCUCCGGGAAGGAUGAUAUCAGCCAUUGGUGCACUGACAUCGCCAUGGUGACCUGGGCAUUACGAAAUAGAAAACUGCAAUUAAGUAAACUUAUUGUUCCUCAACAUGUAUUCUUCAAGUCCCUAAGGGAAUGGUUACCACUAUUUUUCCAAAUGUUCCCUCAUUUGAUUGUGCAAGUCUUGAACUGCCCCUGUGUUUUUGUAAUUUGCUUCCAGUUAGACAGACUUUGUCAUUUUUAACGUGGAAUUGAGCAACAGUUCUCCAGGCCUUCUGAUUCAAGCCUCACCAGAAUGGUCUCUGUGGAAGGCUGCCUGUUAUUUUUAAGGAAGAGAAACUGGAAGAAGAGGCUGAGGUAUGCCAAAUUACACAAGAACUGCACCGAAACUAAGUGGCAACAGGUCUUAAGGAGCAAUGACUUGAAAUUUUGGUUUGAACUGCCAUCAAUAUGUAUGGAGGAGGUUAUGAGAGAGGUACAACAUUGAGUGUCUAUAGCCAUCUGUAAAACAGAUGGAGCCCAGACCUCAGCAAUAUUAAAGGAAUCUGGGAUCAGCUAGGCCGAGAACACAACAAAAGGCAGCCGACAUCCAAAAAAAGAGGUUUGAAUGUCCUUUAAGAAGCCUGGAGAACUAUUCCUGAACUAUACCUGAAGAAAUUACAAGAAAGCUUGCCUAAGAGAGCUCAGGCUGUGUGAAAGAAUAAAGUUGGUCAUACGGUUUGCCUUAAAUACUGUAUAUCCAUGCAUUUUUGCCCCCAAUUCCCAUUUUUCUAGCAACAUAUGAAAAAUAUGAGGGGUAGAUAAAGAGUGAAGGAUGUUGUAGAGACACCAUUUGGGCACUUAAGCCAUUUAAAUGUCUUUAAAUAACUGAGUUUUCUGUCACACCUGUACAUACAGAAGAUCUUUUUUUUUUUUUUAUUCAUACAUCCAUGUAUUUUCU
Oreochromis aureus is the source of this 1157-nucleotide long non-coding RNA. RefSeq lists it as uncharacterized. The transcript is spliced from 2 exons. NCBI's taxonomy places the organism in Eukaryota, Metazoa, Chordata, Actinopteri, Cichliformes, Cichlidae. The record is from RefSeq and is a predicted model, not a curated record.